This is a long non-coding RNA of Lates calcarifer (barramundi perch), 455 nucleotides long. RefSeq lists it as uncharacterized. The transcript is spliced from 3 exons. The record is from RefSeq and is a predicted model, not a curated record. Lineage: Eukaryota; Metazoa; Chordata; Actinopteri; Centropomidae.
UCUAUGUUUGGUAAACACUCACGUGUUCUCUAAACGCCAGUGGUUAGCAUCGUUUUUAUCGAGAACCAAAAGUUGUAGUUAGUAAGGAGGAGAAUGCCUGAAACUGACCGAAGAAGAGACGAUUAACAGAGACACAGGUGGUGCAGAGACUUUGCUGGAGUUCCGUGACUGAGCCGGGAAUCCAGGGCCAGAGGACAACACAGAGAAGCUACACGAUCGACAAGACAUGACACUGAAGAGGAUGAACUCAAAAUUGCAGUAGCAGUAGCCCACCCGACUCACCGAAAAAAUGUGAACAUCACCAGACUCACAAGACAAGACCACUCUUGCCGUUUCACAGAUACUGGUAGAACCGUGAGCGGACAACUUGUGCUCCAGAGAGUUUGUGUGGGUGAGCAUCCGCCCCGAGGGAGGCUUUGUUUUUGCCCUGCAGCCCGCUCCCGUUAACGUGCUCC